RNAcentral lists this ribosomal RNA (462 nucleotides) under uncultured bacterium. RNAcentral's name for it is "partial 16S ribosomal RNA". It matches the Rfam family "Bacterial small subunit ribosomal RNA", at positions 28 to 507 of the family's 1533-position model. The record is from RNAcentral.
GACGAACGCUGGCGGCAUGCUUAACACAUGCAAGUCGAACGGUGACGCCCUUCGGGGUGGAUCAGUGGCGCACGGGGGGGUAAAACGUGCGCAACCGGCCCCUGGCUCUGGGCCAAACACUGGCAAAGGUGGGUAAUACCGGAUACACCACGCCUCUACCGCGAGUGGGGGUGGCAAGUUUUUCUGCUGGGGUUGGGCUGGGGGCCGCUCAGCUUGUUGGUGAGGUGAAGGCGCACCAAGGCGACGACGGGUUGCCUGCCUGAUAGGGCGACCGGCCACACUGGGAUGGGGCCACGGCCCAGACUCCUCCGGGACGCAGCAGUGGGGAAUAUUGCACAAUGGGCGAAACCCUGAUGCAGCGACGCCGCGUGGGGGAUGACGGCCUGCGGGUUGUAAACCACUUCCAGCUCCGACGAAGCGAUAGUGACGGUAGCAGCAGAAUAAGCUCCGGCUAACUCCGUG